RNAcentral lists this ribosomal RNA (266 nucleotides) under uncultured bacterium. RNAcentral's name for it is "partial 16S ribosomal RNA". It matches the Rfam family "Bacterial small subunit ribosomal RNA", at positions 337 to 620 of the family's 1533-position model. The record is from RNAcentral.
UCCUACGGGACGCAGCAGUGGGGAAUAUUGCACAAUGGGGGAAACCCUGAUGCAGCGACGCCGCGUGAGUGAAGAAGUAUUUCGGUAUGUAAAGCUCUAUCAGCAGGGAAGAUAAUGGCGGUACCUGACUAAGAAGCCCCCGCUAACUACGUGCCCGCAGCCGCGGUAAUACGUAGGGGGCAAGCGUUAUCCGGAUUUUCUUGGUGUAAAAGGGGCGUAGGUGGCAGGGCAAGUCAGAUUUUAAAGCCCCGGGCUCAACCCCGGUA